This 483-nucleotide ribosomal RNA is filed under the name uncultured bacterium. RNAcentral describes it as "partial 16S ribosomal RNA". It matches the Rfam family "Bacterial small subunit ribosomal RNA", at positions 30 to 506 of the family's 1533-position model. The record is from RNAcentral.
AUUGAACGCUGGCGGCAGGCCUAACACAUGCAAGUCGAGCGGAUGAAGGGAGCUUGCUCCUGGAUUCAGCGGCGGACGGGUGAGUAAUGCCCAGGAAUCUGCCUGGUAGUGGGGGAUAACGUCCGGAAACGGGCGCUAAUACCGCAUACGUCCUGAGGGAGAAAGUGGGGGAUCUUCGGACCUCACGCUAUCAGAUGAGCCUAGGUCGGAUUAGCUAGUUGGUGGGGUAAAGGCCUACCAAGGCGACGAUCCGUAACUGGUCUGAGAGGAUGAUCAGUCACACUGGAACUGAGACACGGUCCAGACUCCUACGGGAGGCAGCAGUGGGGAAUAUUGGACAAUGGGCGAAAGCCUGAUCCAGCCAUGCCGCGUGUGUGAAGAAGGUCUUCGGAUUGUAAAGCACUUUAAGUUGGGAGGAAGGGCAGUAAGUUAAUACCUUGCUGUUUUGACGUUACCAACAGAAUAAGCACCGGCUAACUUCGU